This 79-nucleotide non-coding RNA is filed under the name Terasakiella magnetica. Its description in RNAcentral is "Candidatus Terasakiella magnetica SAM_alpha". It matches the Rfam family "Alpha-proteobacteria SAM riboswitch aptamer". Rfam says of the family: This family is a riboswitch found predominantly in alpha-proteobacteria that binds S-adenosyl methionine (SAM). This SAM riboswitch is located upstream of the metA and metC genes in Agrobacterium tumefaciens, and other methionine and SAM biosynthesis genes in other alpha-proteobacteria. Like the other SAM riboswitch, it probably functions to turn off expression of these genes in response to elevated SAM levels. Lineage: Bacteria; Pseudomonadati; Pseudomonadota; Alphaproteobacteria; Rhodospirillales; Terasakiellaceae. The record is from RNAcentral.
UCUCUGUUUCGUGGUGAUUUGUCCGACCGGAUUGCGGCCACGGUAAAUAAGCAGCUAAAGAGGUUUGCGCGCUCUCUUA